UUUGUGUUGGCUGGAGCUGGAGUAACAAGAUGGCGUCGUCGGCGGAGUGACAGGGGUCCCUCUGGGCCGGAGCCGACGGCAGUGGUGGCAGCGGUACCGCUCCCCAGCUCACUGCGCCCCUUUUCCAGCCCGGACGUCGCCGCGAAAGCGAGGCAGCGGCGGCUGCCCAGAACAGGUGGCCCAGCCUGGUAACCGCUAGAAGCCCUUCACAAACUGCGGCCUGGCAGGCAACCAACCAAAAAACAAACAAAGAAUCCUGACCGAGCAGCGGGCAUCAAGUUCCCUUCGCCGGCAUCUGGGCCCUGGACGCCGGGAAAGGCCUCCGUGUUCCGCUUCCUGCCGCCUUCCACGGUAGGCUUGGCCCAGCCUCCAUCUUCGUCUCUCAGGACGGCUAGCAGCAGAAUUCAUUGUCGGAAGGAAAUAUAAACUGCUUUGGAAGAUCUGGUGUAGCUCCUUCGGAGACAUCUGUCUGGCGAUCAGCAUCACCAACGGUGAAGAAGUGGUAGUGAAGCCAGAAUCUCAGGGCCAGGCAUCCCCAGUUGCUGUACAAGAGCAGGCUUUACAAGAUGCUUCAAGGUGGGGUUGGCAUCCCCCACAUACGGUGGUGUGGUCAGGAAGAAGACUAUAAUGUACUAGUCAUGGAUUUUUCUGGGACCUAGCCUCGAAGACCAAUUUCUGUUCAAGAAGGUUCACAAUGAAAACUGUACUUAUAUUAGCUGACCAGAUGAUCAGUAGAAUUGAACAUGUGCAUACAAAGAAUUUUAUACACAGAGCCAUUAAACCAGGACCCUGAUCCAUCAAUAUGACUACACAUUUGAUUGGACAAAGUUAAAGCAGAAAGCAGCACAGCAGGCAGCCUCUUCUAGUGGGAGGGGCAGCAGGCCCAAACCCCAACAGGGUAUUUAGAGAAAUUCAAUCAGAGACGAUGGAACUAAAGCUGGCCCUUCUGUGCAUACCUGUUUCCUAAAAUGUUUACUCCUGGAUUGGGUCAGCCCCUCUGCAUUUACCUAUAAGAAUCUACAUACAAGCUUGUCUAUCCAUCCUGCAUAGAGCACAAGUCACAGAAGAAAAGCUCCUCUCCAUAAAUUGCUUAACAUAGUAAUCAAUAUCUCUUCACAUUUUCAGAGUAAACUAUAUCACUUGAAUAAACAAAAUGCCAAAGGGUUCACAGUAACAGACUAAUUAGAGCAAUGACAAUGAUUCUAGAAGUCUUCCUGGAAAAGGCAACUAUUUAACUAUGUUGUAUUUAUUCACAUCAGCCCUUUAAACUUUCUCCAUGAUACAUCCAUUUUUGAGGGGAGGGAAAGGUGAGGUUAGGGGUCCCGAGAGACUUAGAGGGAUGAUGGGGUCAGAAGUAUAUUGAGAUGAUUUCACUGGGAAACGGGAGGAUGAGUUUCAGGACAAUAGCUGUGGUUCUGUUUCAAACAGGAUGCAUGGAGAAGACAGAACACCUUCUCAAAUGGGAAGAGAGAGACAGCAAACAUAGCAAAAGACAUAGAAACCCUAAAAGUAACAAAGUACCCGAAGUUAUGUUUACUUUGAAAACACUUACUUACUUAAGUACUAAAACGAGAGAACACUUCAUGUGGACACUGGGUGCAAAUCAUGUCCAUCGAUCUGGAAUUUAUACCCCAGCCUUCUUCCAAAAGUUGGGGGUGUUUGUUUUAACAAAAUUGGUCGUGUGAAUUAUUACAUGUUUUCUCAGUUAUUUCCCCAGGGAAACACGCCAAAGGCAA
This 1736-nucleotide long non-coding RNA is filed under the name Homo sapiens (human). Its description in RNAcentral is "non-protein coding lnc-MEIS2-2:3". Lineage: Eukaryota; Metazoa; Chordata; Mammalia; Primates; Hominidae. The record is from RNAcentral.